This is a long non-coding RNA of Erinaceus europaeus (western European hedgehog), 519 nucleotides long. RefSeq lists it as uncharacterized. The transcript has 2 exons. The record is from RefSeq and is a predicted model, not a curated record. NCBI's taxonomy places the organism in Eukaryota, Metazoa, Chordata, Mammalia, Eulipotyphla, Erinaceidae.
AUCCCAAGAUGUCAGGCUAUCAGGAGGGGUGCAGCUCAAGCCCCUUGCUCAAAGGACUUCUCGGAAAGCAUCAGAAGGGGGACGGAGUGCAAUGGGGAGCAGGCUCUGUGCCCACCCUGGCCAUUGUGCGUGUUCCAAGCCACCAGGUUCCAGAUGCUAACAUGAUGCCGACCAGACUUCCCUGGACAGACAACCCCACCAAUGUGUCCUGGAGCACCACUUCCCCAGAGCCCCACCCUACUAGGGAAAGAGAGAGGCAGACUGGGAGUAUGGAUAGACCAGUCAAUACCCAUGUUCAGCGGGGAAGCAAUUACAGAAGCCAGACCUUCCACCUUCUGCAUCCCACAAUGUCCUUGAGUCCAUACUCCCAGAAGGAUAAAGAAUAGGAAAGCUAUCAGGGGAGGGGAUGAGAUACAGAGAUCGGGUGGUGGGAACUGUGUGGAGUUGUACCCCUCUUAUGCUAUGGUUUUGUCAAUGUUUCCUUUUUAUAAAUAAAAAAAAAAAAGGAAGAAAGAAAAA